GGCGGGACUCUGGGCUGUUACUGACGCUGAGGAGCGAAAGCAUGGGGAGCGAACAGGAUUAGAUACCCUGGUAGUCCAUGCCGUAAACGUUGGGCACUAGGUGUGGGGCUCAGUUCCUACGAGUUCCGCGCCGCAGCUAACGCAUUAAGUGCCCCGCCUGGGGAGUACGGCCGCAAGGCUAAAACUCAAAGGAAUUGACGGGGGCCCGCACAAGCGGCGGAGCAUGCGGAUUAAUUCGAUGCAACGCGAAGAACCUUACCAAGGCUUGACAUACACCGGAAUGUGCCAGAGAUGGUUCAGCCCUUUGGGCUGGUGUACAGGUGGUGCAUGGUUGUCGUCAGCUCGUGUCGUGAGAUGUUGGGUUAAGUCCC
Molecule: ribosomal RNA, 371 nt
Filed under: uncultured bacterium
Lineage: Bacteria
Description: bacterial SSU rRNA
Rfam family: Bacterial small subunit ribosomal RNA
Source: RNAcentral